RNAcentral lists this unclassified non-coding RNA (278 nucleotides) under Hevea brasiliensis (rubber tree). The record is from RNAcentral. Lineage: Eukaryota; Viridiplantae; Streptophyta; Magnoliopsida; Malpighiales; Euphorbiaceae.
GCCAAACAAGGCCAAGGGCAGGUACUGGUCUGUGCCCCUAGUAACGUGGCUGUGGACCAGCUGGCAGAGAAGAUAAGUGCAACUGGGUUGAAGGUUGUUAGGCUAUGUGCAAAAUCAAGGGAAGCUGUAAGCUCUCCUGUGGAACACUUAACCCUUCACUAUCAGGUUCGACAUCUUGACACAUCGGAAAGAAGUGAACUUCAUAAGUUGCAACAAUUGAAAGAUGAACAAGGGGAGCUGUCUAGCAGUGAUGAGAAAAAAUAUAAAGCCCUUAAGAG